RNAcentral lists this long non-coding RNA (512 nucleotides) under Homo sapiens (human). Its description in RNAcentral is "non-protein coding LINC01467:5". The record is from RNAcentral. Lineage: Eukaryota; Metazoa; Chordata; Mammalia; Primates; Hominidae.
CUUUUAUCUUUAGUGCCAAAGACACUAAGAGAAUGAACUCUUCCUGGUAACUAAUUAAGGUUUUAUUGCCUUCUCUCCCAUCAUCUCCUCUCUUUUCUAUUGUUUCUGUGCAGGUCCCACUUUCUGUAGUUGUUCUGGUUUUGACUUCUGUUUUCUCUUCCUUUCAGCAGAUGGAAAGGCAGCUCAACAUCUGAGAAGCCAGUCUUACUCCCUGCAGGCAACAGCUGCUUCCAGAAAACAGCCCUAUUACUUCACCAAAGUACAGUUCCUACAGGAAGAUAAUGAUCUGACCUAACCUACUAUUGGCUGAAGGAAGGAGAAAAGCAGCUGAAGAUGUCUGUUGAGUGAUUACCCUCAUAAUCCGUGACUAAGAACAUCCAAAUCAGCAUGGCUUCUUCCUGUCUGAAAUUAUUACUACUUAGGGUUUUUCACGUGUUAUUUCAUUUAUUGAUUAUUCUGUUUUAAACUUGCAAGACGUAUUGUCUCUUCAGAAAUAAAACUUUAUCACUUGC